Molecule: ribosomal RNA, 440 nt
Filed under: uncultured bacterium
Lineage: Bacteria
Description: partial 16S ribosomal RNA
Rfam family: Bacterial small subunit ribosomal RNA
Source: RNAcentral
CCUACGGGAGGCUGCAGUGGGGAAUAUUGCACAAUGGGGGAAACCCUGAUGCAGCGACGCCGCGUGAGUGAAGAAGUAUUUCGGUACGUAAAGCUCUAUCAGCAGGGAAGAAAAUGACGGUACCUGACUAAGAAGCCCCGGCUAACUACGUGCCAGAAGCCGCGGUAAUACGUAGGGGGCAUGCGUUAUCCGGAUUUACUGGGUGUAAAGGGAGCGUAGACGGCAGCGCAAGUCUGGAGGGAAAUCCCAUGGCUUAACCAUGGAACUGCUUUGGAAACUGGGUAGCUAGAGUGCAGGAGAGGUAAGCGGAAUGCCUAGUGUAGCGGUGAAAUGCGUAGAUAUUAGGAGGAACACCAGUGGCGAAGGCGGCUUACUGGACUGUAACUGACGUUGAGGCUCGAAAGCGUGGGGAGCAAACAGGAUUAGAUACCCCUGUAGUC